This 370-nucleotide ribosomal RNA is filed under the name uncultured organism. RNAcentral's name for it is "partial 16S ribosomal RNA". It matches the Rfam family "Bacterial small subunit ribosomal RNA", at positions 527 to 896 of the family's 1533-position model. The record is from RNAcentral.
AGAGGGUGCAAGCGUUAAUCGGAUUUACUGGGCGUAAAGCGUGUGUAGGUGGUCGGGAAAGUCAAUUGUGAAAGCCCAGGGCUUAACUCUGGAACUGCUUUUGAUACUGUCUGACUAGAAUUCGGUAGAGGGAGGCGGAACUCCAGGUGUAGCGGUGAAAUGCGUAGAUAUCUGGAAGAACACCAAUGGCGAAGGCAACCUCCUGGGCCUGAAUUGACACUGAGACACGAAAGCGUGGGGAUCAAACAGGGAUUAGAUACCCUGGUAGUCCACGCCGUAAACGAUGACAACUUGACGUCGGUUUGCUCUGCGAAUCGGUGUCGUAGCUAACGCGAUAAGUUGUCCGCCUGGGGAUACGGCCGCAAGGUUG